Molecule: long non-coding RNA, 1830 nt
Filed under: Sus scrofa (pig)
Lineage: Eukaryota; Metazoa; Chordata; Mammalia; Artiodactyla; Suidae
Description: lncRNA (ENSSSCG00040023598.1)
Source: RNAcentral
GAGAGUGGCGGCUGCGGGCCCCGCCGUGCCCCGCCCGGAAGCUGCCUCUCCGCAGGCGCUGCCCGCCUUCGACCCAGUGUUGCCGUUGCGGCGGUGAUGGAGCGUAGACCGCUGAGGUCCGCUCUGCGCCGCUGGCGGAGACGAGGCCGCGGGGACCGCAGCGCCGGGCGACCACACCCUCGGUUUGGGGGACAAGCCUGCCUUUUGCGCACUUGGACUUUUCCCCACCCUCUUCUAAGUCUUAGUGCCUCCGUACCAGAUAAAGAUUUGCCUGAGAUUCCCAAGCAUCUCAAUGCCGGUACCCACAGUUCCUACUCACAUUUGUCCAACGAAUGUGAAGAAAACAGCAACCAAAUGACAGCCACAGAAUUGCAUCAAAAUGUAAGUGACUUGCUGUUCAUUGAUAAUCUAGAAACUGGAAAACUAUGAAGUGAAAAAUAAGUUAUAUAUGAUCCUGCCACCAAGGAAUAGUCCUACUAACCCUCUGAUAUAUUUUCUUUCAGUCCCCCUUUCUCUGGCUUUUCCUUACAAAGCAGGGAUUUUUUUAAAUUAAAAAAACUUAUUUUUUAUUUUAUUUUUUGCUUUUUAGGGCCACGCCCAUGGCAUAUGGAAGUUCCCAGGCUAGGGGUCGAAUCAGAGCUACAGCAGCCGGCCUGCACCACAGCCACAGCCAUGUGGGAUCCUUAACCCACCGAGCAAGGCCAGGGAUCAAACCCGCAUCCUUAUGGAUCCUGGUUGGGUUUAUUAAGCGCUGAGCCACAAAGGGAACUCCCUGGGCUUUUUUUUUUUAGAUCUGACACUUAUAUAGGUUAUUUUGAAUCAUUUAAGAUCUAGGUAGAACAAGUGUAGGAGGAAAAAACUUGGACAAUAUUUGCAAAAGCUUACAAAUGUUUUUCUUUUUCUUUUCUUUCUUUCUUUUUUUUUACGUCCACACUUGUGGCAUAUGGAGGUUCCCAGGCUAGGGGUCAAAUCAGAGCUGCAACUGCUGACCGACACCACAGCCACAGCAACACCAGAUCCGAGCCGCAUCUGUGACCUAAACCGUAGCUUGUGGCAACGCUGGAUCCUUAAUCCACUGAGCAAGGCCAGGGGCACUAUGUUGGAUUCUUAACCCACUGAGCCACAAUGGGAAUGUCUUAAAUUUUAUUUAAAUUAAAAUAUUGUGUCAGUAUUUUAAAAAAACAGAUGUUGAAUUUGGAAAUAGAAGUACAGAAUCCCUCCCCACAACCGUACACUUUCUUGCCUUUUAAUCAGUAUAUUUCAUGGAUAGACUGAUCACAUCCUGAGGUCUAUGAAAAUACAGAAACUCGGAUCCUGUUACAGUCGGUCCUCUGUGUCUGUGGGUUCCGCCUCCAUGAAGAUUCGAAAGUAUUUGGGGUGGGGGGGAGUUCCUGUCGUGGCGCAGUGCAAACGAAUCCGACUAGGAACCAUGAGGUUGCUGGUCUGAUCCCUGGCCUCUCUCAGUGGGUUAAGGAUCCAGCGUUACUAGUGCGGCCCUGAAAAGACAAAAAGACAAAAAAAAAAAAAAAAAAAAAAAAGGGGGAGGGGGAAGGGUGGAAAUUCCAAAAGCAAAACCUUGAAUCUGCAUUGAGAACUAUUUACAAAACAUUUACAUUGUUUUGACAACUAUGUGCAUAGUAUUUGCAUUAGAUAUUCUAAGUAAUUCGGACCAUUUAAAGUGUAUGGGAAGGAGUUCCCAUCAUGGCUCAGUGGUUAAGGAAUCCCUGGCCUCGCUCAGUGGGUUAAGGAGCUGGCGUUGCUGUGGCUGUGGUGUAGGCCAGCAGCUAUAUCUCCAAUUAGACCCCUAGCCUGGGAACCCCCGCAUGCCGA